Molecule: ribosomal RNA, 865 nt
Filed under: Escherichia coli
Lineage: Bacteria; Pseudomonadati; Pseudomonadota; Gammaproteobacteria; Enterobacterales; Enterobacteriaceae
Description: partial 23S ribosomal RNA
Rfam family: Bacterial large subunit ribosomal RNA
Source: RNAcentral
GUUAUAUGGUCAAGCGAAUAAGCGCACACGGUGGAUGCCUUGGCGGUCAGAGGCGAUGAAGGACGUGGCAGCCUGCGAAAAGUAUCGGGGAGCUGGCAACAAGCUUUGAUCCGGUAAUGUCCGAAUGGGGAAACCCACCCGCUUGCGGGUAUCCUGCAGUGAAUACAUAGCUGCUGGAAGCGAACCUGGUGAACUGAAAUAUCUAAGUAACCAGAGGAAAAGAAAUCAACCGAGAUUCCGUAAGUAGCGACGAGCGAACGCGGACUAGCCCUUAAGCUGGAUUGGUUCUAGGAAAACGCUCUGGAAAGAGCGGCCAUAGAAGGUGAUAGCCCUGUAUCUGAAAGGGCCAUUCCAGUGAAGACGAGUAGGGCGGGGCACGUGAAACCCUGUCUGAACAUGGGGGGACCAUCCUCCAAGGCUAAAUACUACUGACCGACCGAUAGUGAACCAGUACCGUGAGGGAAAGGCGAAAAGAACCCCGGAGAGGGGAGUGAAAUAGAACCUGAAACCGUGUGCGUACAAGCAGUAGGAGCUCCGCAAGGAGUGACUGCGUACCUUUUGUAUAAUGGGUCAGCGACUUACUGUUCGUGGCAAGCUUAACCGUAUAGGGGAGGCGAAGGGAAACCGAGUCUGAUAAGGGCGCAUAGUCGCGGGCAGUAGACCCGAAACCGGGUGAUCUAGUCAUGCCCAGGGUGAAGGUGCGGUAACACGCACUGGAGGCCCGAACCCACUCCCGUUGCAAAGGUAGGGGAUGAGGUGUGAUUAGGAGUGAAAAGCUAAUCGAACCCGGAGAUAGCUGGUUCUCCUCGAAAGCUAUUUAGGUAGCGCCUCAUAUGUAUCCUCUCGGGGGUAGAGCACUGUUAUG